GAAAUGCGAUACUUGGUGUGAAUUGCAGAAUCCCGUGAACCAUCGAGUCUUUGAACGCAAGUUGCGCCCGAAGCCAUUAGGCCGAGGGCACGCCUGCCUGGGUGUCACACAUCGUUUCCCCAACGCAAACAUGUAACAAUGUUGCUGCGCGGGGUGUAUGCUUAAACUCAGCGGGUAGCCCCGCCUGACUGCGAGACUGACAAGUCGAGCAGAGACGAAAGUCGGCCAUAGUGAUCCGGUGGUUCUGUAUGGAAGGGCCAUCGCUCAACGAAUAAAAGGUACUCUAGGGAUAACAGGCUGAUAGACACCGUGU
This 313-nucleotide unclassified non-coding RNA is filed under the name uncultured fungus. Its description in RNAcentral is "sequence contains ITS1". It matches the Rfam family "Bacterial large subunit ribosomal RNA", at positions 2334 to 2497 of the family's 2925-position model. Lineage: Eukaryota; Fungi. The record is from RNAcentral.